This 442-nucleotide ribosomal RNA is filed under the name uncultured bacterium. Its description in RNAcentral is "partial 16S ribosomal RNA". It matches the Rfam family "Bacterial small subunit ribosomal RNA", at positions 338 to 795 of the family's 1533-position model. The record is from RNAcentral.
CCUACGGUGGACUGCAGUGAGGAAUAUUGGGCAAUGGGGGCAACCCUGACCCAGCAACGCCGCGUGAAGGAAGAAGGCUUUCGGGUUGUAAACUUCUUUUAAGAGGGAAGAGCAGAAGACGGUACCUCUUGAAUAAGCCACGGCUAACUACGUGCCAGCAGCCGCGGUAAUACGUAGGUGGCAAGCGUUGUCCGGAUUUACUGGGUGUAAAGGGCGUGUAGCCGGGCUGACAAGUCAGAUGUGAAAUCCCGUGGCUCAACCACGGAACUGCAUUUGAAACUGUCGGUCUUGAGUAUCGGAGAGGCAGGCGGAAUUCCUAGUGUAGCGGUGAAAUGCGUAGAUAUUAGGAGGAACACCAGUGGCGAAGGCGGCCUGCUGGACGACAACUGACGGUGAGGCGCGAAAGCGUGGGGAGCAAACAGGAUUAGAUACCCCUGUAGUC